This 817-nucleotide ribosomal RNA is filed under the name Helix pomatia (Roman snail). RNAcentral describes it as "partial large subunit ribosomal RNA". Lineage: Eukaryota; Metazoa; Mollusca; Gastropoda; Stylommatophora; Helicidae. The record is from RNAcentral.
AUUAACAAGUAAGUAAUAAAUAUAUUCUCACGAAGGAAGGUGAGCUAAACACCACAUAUGUGUAUUUGUAUACGUAGUAUAGUAUACAUAUAAUAUGUGUUUAGGAGUGAUAGGCUUUUCAAACAUUCUUAUAACUUGUUUCAUAUGAAAAGUAUUAAGUACCUAAACAAAUUUAAAAAGUUAAGCUUUUAAAUAAAUAUUAAAAAUAUUAUUCCCUUGUAGUGUAGUUUAAUAACUAUCUACAUUAAUAAUUAAACACUAAGUAUGAUAGAUUAUAUUUUAUAAUAUGACGCACACAGUUUUUGUUACGAGUCGAUAAUGUUAGUAUUAGUAGUAUUAAUAUAUGCGGUAAAGGAACUCGGCAAAUAACCGCUCAACUGUUUAUCAAAAACAUAGCUAUAUGGAUUAAUAUAUAGUUAUUUCUGCUCAAUGACUUAAAUAGCCGCAGUACUCUGACUGUGCAAAGGUAGCAUAAUCAGUUGGCUUUUAAUUAGAGUCUGGUAUGAACGAAAAUAUGGGUAGUAACUGUCUUAUCGCAUUUAUUUGAACUUAUUUAACAAGUGAAAAUACUUGUGCUUGACACAAUAGACGAGAAGACCCUAGAAACUUGAACAGGUUUUUGUUGGGGCGACAGAAUUACAUUCAACUAAUCUUAUACUACAUGACGCAAUGUUGAAAGAAUAAGUUACUCUAGGGAUAACAGCAUAAUUUCAUUAGUUUGUGACCUCGAUGUUGGAUUAGGUACUAUAUCCUUAAGGCAAGGGUAUAUUAUGCUCUGUUCGAGCAAAAAUACCUACAUGAUCUGAGUUCAGACCGG